RNAcentral lists this transfer RNA (88 nucleotides) under bacterium. Its description in RNAcentral is "tRNA-Ser". It matches the Rfam family "tRNA". Rfam says of the family: Transfer RNA (tRNA) molecules are approximately 80 nucleotides in length. Their secondary structure includes four short double-helical elements and three loops (D, anti-codon, and T loops). The record is from RNAcentral.
GGAGAGAUGGCCGAGUGGUCGAAGGCGCAGCAUUGGAAAUGCUGUAACGGGUUUCCCCCGUUCGUGGGUUCGAAUCCCAUUCUCUCCU